CGGGGUGGAGUAACGCGUGGGUACGUGCCUUAUACAGGGGAGUAACAGUUGGAAACGGCUGCUAAUACCGCAUAAGCGCACGGCAUCGCAUGAUGCAGUGUGAAAAACUCCGGUGGUAUAAGAUGGACCCGCGUUGGAUUAGCUAGUUGGUGAGGUAACGGCCCACCAAGGCGACGAUCCAUAGCCGACCUGAGAGGGUGACCGGCCACAUUGGGACUGAGACACGGCCCAA
Molecule: ribosomal RNA, 232 nt
Filed under: uncultured bacterium
Lineage: Bacteria
Description: partial 16S ribosomal RNA
Rfam family: Bacterial small subunit ribosomal RNA
Source: RNAcentral